GGAGGGGUGCAAGCGUUAAUCGGAAUUACUGGGCGUAAAGCGCACGCAGGCGGUCUGUUAAGUCAGAUGUGAAAUCCCCGGGCUCAACCUGGGAACUGCAUUUGAAACUGGCAGGCUUGAGUCUUGUAGAGGGGGGUAGAAUUCCAGGUGUAGCGGUGAAAUGCGUAGAGAUCUGGAGGAAUACCGGUGGCGAAGGCGGCCCCCUGGACAAAGACUGACGCUCAGGUGCGAAAGCGUGGGGAGCAAACAGGAUUAGAUACCCUGGUAGUCCACGCUGUAAACGAUGUCGACUUGGAGGUUGUUCCCUUGAGGAGUGGCUUCCGGAGCUAACGCGUUAAGUCGACCGCCUGGGGAGUACGGCCGCAAAGGUUA
Molecule: ribosomal RNA, 372 nt
Filed under: uncultured organism
Description: partial 16S ribosomal RNA
Rfam family: Bacterial small subunit ribosomal RNA
Source: RNAcentral